ACAUUUAAGGAGAACAAGGGACCCGUGCAUUCCCUGCAAGACUUCUCACCCAAUUCCUGGAGGACAGUGAGGCAUUUGUAAAAUGUUGAUGGCCAAGCAUGAUACCUCAUGCCUGAGACGCCAGCUCUCAGGAGGCCCCCGGCAAGUUCAAGGCCAGCUUGCUCUACAUGAUCCAAAGAAGCGUCUUUCUCUGAUUCCUUUUAUCUGGAAGAACUGAGAGGAGACGGGCGAACGGUUGUGAGAAUCUCUUUAAGGGGCAGUCCUGGAAUGAGUGAAGUGCACCGCUGACUCCUGGCCGCCUGUCUCUCCUAUGGCCUGGCAUCUUCACAGAUGCAGAUUUUGAAAAUGCAUUUCUCCUUUAUCUGAGAGCCCCUCCUGCCCCCUCCUCCAGGACCGACACACUAUGCGUGGAACCUGUGAUGCUAGGCCAUCCUUCCUAUGGUUUGACAUAUUGUCUCACCAGUAAAGGGUAGAGCUGGAACCCACCAUGAAAUCCUGGCCCAGCAAAAUACGUGCCCUAGAGAAGAAGGACCACAAACUCAAGGUCACCUGGGGCUACAUACUUAAGAUCCAGUCUCAAAACUCCAAAUCAAACAAAAAUUGCGCUAAUAAUAAAUUGUAGGAAGUAAGAAGAUGACACCAGGUAGCAGGUCUCAGGCAGCCUCUUUCUGGCUUUAGACUCAUGAUGGCUUAGAGUAGUUUUGAACUCCCAGUAUCAUCUUCUAAAUGUGCAUCUCGACAAAAAAAAAAGGAAUGACUUCGCCGGGCGUGGUGGCGCACACCUUUAAUCCCAGCACUCGGGAGGCAGAGGCAGGCGGAUUUCUGAAUUCGAGGCUAGCCUGGUCUACAAAGUGAGCUCCAGGACAGCCAGGGCUAUACAGAGAAACCCUGUCUCGAGAAAAAAAAAAAAAAAAAAGGAAUGAUUUCUCUGAGAUAGGGCCACAUGUAGCCCAGGCAACCCUCAAACUGUGAAGUCACAGAUUAUCUGAUCCUCCUGCCUCCACCUCCCAGUGUAAUUAAAAGUACAGCUAGCCUGGUGGCACGCCAUGCCUGACAUAGAGAGAGCAUGCAUCCAACUAAGGGCUUCAUUCUUACUAAGGCAAGCAUUCUGCCUACUGAGCUACAUACAUCCCCGGUGCAGAGAGGAAUAUUUAUUAAGCCUUCAUCCCUUCCAUAAUUGGACAAUGUAUUGUCUUGAUGUUCUGAUGGGCAGGAAGUUAUUUAGGCAGUAUAUAAACUGUCAUACUACACAGGGCAAAAAUAUUGCUUGUUUUCAAAAAAACAUUAGAAUACAGUAAAAUG
Molecule: long non-coding RNA, 1302 nt
Filed under: Mus musculus (house mouse)
Lineage: Eukaryota; Metazoa; Chordata; Mammalia; Rodentia; Muridae
Description: predicted gene, 26885
Source: RNAcentral